UAUAUGUUUAUUAUUGGGAUAAUUUUUGAUAUAUUAAUAUUUAAUUAUAAAUGGUUCUAUAUCUUAAUAAUUAUCUUAUUUAUUUUUAAAAAUAUAUGUUUUUAUUUUGAUAUUUUUUCAUAUUAGUUUAUAAUCAAUUAGCUAAUAUAACUUAUAAUCUAUUAUUAUUAAUAUAAAAUUCUUUUAAAUUAUAUAUUAAGCAAAAAUAUCUAAAAUCAUGAAGAAUACGACACACAAACAAAAUCAGCUUUUGAUUGAUUAAUAUUUAAUUAGAAAUUGUUCUAUGUCUUAAUCUCUUAUAAUAAUAAAAUUUUAUUUUCCAGAUAACAAUAAAAUAUAUAUGUAAAACAAUUAUCUUUUUUUUUUAAUUUUGAUAAUUUAUUAUAUUAAUUUAUAAUCAAUUUAGUAAUAUAAAAUAUAAUCCAAUAUUAUUAAAAUAAUAAUUCAUUUUAAUUAUAUAAUUAGCUUUUAAAAGCACUUAUAUAUUUGAAAUAUUUUAUAAAAAUAUUUUUGAUUGAUUAAUAUUUAAUUAUAAUUUCUUUAUAUCUUAAUGUUUUAUAAUAAAAAUAUUAUUUCAGAUAACAACAAAAUAAUAUGUAGAAGAUUUAUAGUAUAGAAAAAUGUAUUUUUGUUCAUUUAUCAUAUUAAUUUGUAAUUAAUUAGGUAAUAUGAAAUACAAUAUAAUAUUAUUAAUAUAAAAUUCGUUUUAAUUAUAUAAUAAGUCAAAUACCUAAAAUUAUGGAGAACUUGACACAUAAGCAAAUUCACUUCUCAAAUAAUAGUAUAGAUGAGCAUUAAGCAAUAUCAUUAAAUAAAACAGGGCAUGGAUUAUGAUUGUAACUGUAACGACAUUCGGAAAGGAGCGUCUAUGAUUAAACCCCGACCAGAUUGAUCAGUAGCUUGUCUUGGUUCUUCCUUCGGUAUUGACUAAGGUUCUCUAACAUGUUAUCAACAUAGAGACAACCUUUGCUAGUUGUUUUUCUUUUCUUCUAGGAAUUUAGAAGACUAAUAAAUUUAAUUUGAGUGGCAAUGAAAAAAGCUUCGAAAACAGACAAAAUAGCGGCAUGUGCAUUUCGUCGUUAAUCUGUUUAUUGCUUAUAUGAAUGACUAUAAUGCAUUAUCAAAGAACACGGUAUAAGCAGCCAAGAGUUUGGUCAUAUGCAUGAUAUCGACAGAUAAUAGUAUAAUACAUAUCUGUGAGUAUAAACUAACGUGACCAUAGCAAAAAAAAAA
This is a long non-coding RNA of Brassica rapa (field mustard), 1233 nucleotides long. RefSeq lists it as uncharacterized. NCBI's taxonomy places the organism in Eukaryota, Viridiplantae, Streptophyta, Magnoliopsida, Brassicales, Brassicaceae. The record is from RefSeq and is a predicted model, not a curated record.